RNAcentral lists this ribosomal RNA (348 nucleotides) under Anisakis sp. I SS-2016. Its description in RNAcentral is "partial 18S ribosomal RNA". Lineage: Eukaryota; Metazoa; Nematoda; Chromadorea; Rhabditida; Anisakidae. The record is from RNAcentral.
AUCGAGCGAAUCCAAAACGAAAAAGUCUCCCAACGUGCAUACCGCCCAUUUACAUGUUGUUGUGAGCCGCACGGAAACUCGUACACGUUUGUGGUGGUGAUAGCCGUCUGCUGUGCGUUCGUUGGGCAGACAAUGGCUUACGAGUGGCUGUGCGCUUGUUGAACAACGGUGACCAAUUUGGCGUCUACGCCGUAUCUAGCCUCCGCCUGGACCGUCGGUAGCGAUGAAAGAUGCGGAGGAAGUUCCUCGUCAGAGUUGAGCAGACUUAAUGAGCCACGCUCUAGGUGGCCGCCAGAACCCAAAACACACCAAUUGUUGUCAUUUGACAUUGUUGAUGAUGAUUAUGUA